This 106-nucleotide small nuclear RNA is filed under the name Pseudonaja textilis. Lineage: Eukaryota; Metazoa; Chordata; Lepidosauria; Squamata; Elapidae. The record is from RNAcentral.
GUGCUCGUUUCAGCAGCACAUAUACUAAAAUUGGAAUUAUACAGAGAAGAUUAGCAUGGCCCCUGCGCAAGGAUGACACGCAAUUUGUGAACUGUUCCAUAUUUCA